CCGGUGAAAGGAAUCGAAGAACGGAGGUUCGGGGUGAUCUCACCGGCAACAAUGGUGGCGGUGACCGGCGGAGGAAGACGUCAACGUAGCCGGCUGUACAGAGGUUUUGGGGCCAAACUUUUUACAUGGGAAUGGGAGAGGAGAGGCAAAGGCUCAAAGUGACGCGCGUGGAAUCCUUUUAUAGUGGCCGAGGAGGGAGAUCGGGCGCGGAUGUCGACGGCCAACAUUCGGGGCGCCUCUUUUGGAAACUACGAUUAUAAGAGGAAACUUCAAAUUGAUUUCCUGAAUGGGUUCCCGGGAUGGUGAGGAUUGAUGGGGUGGUUUCCUUUCGGAGAGAGACGCGCGGGAAGGAAAGUAAUCAAAGGAUGAAAAUAUGAAAGGAGAGGUUUCCUUAGGUGCAGAGGAGAGGAGGAAGAACGAGCUCGUGCUCGUGCUCUGGCUGGGGCGCUCGGUGGAGAUGGGCCGGCCGUUGGCUCGGUCCAUUCUCUCUUUUUUUCCUUUUUCUUUUUUUUUCCAUUUCUGUUUUUAUUAAUAACUUUUGAUUCCUAACUCCAAAUAAGUCUAAGUAAACUCCAGAAAAUUUGUAAAUUCAAAUCCUCUAAAGUGUGAACUUUUGGGACUUGAAUCCUUUUAAAAUAAAAUAAGUAAAAAUACUUUUGCUUAUAUAAAUGUCAUUAGGGCUUUAUAAGUAAUACAUAAAAUAGGUUUUGAAAUCUAUUAUGAAACCUUUGUUUCAUAAAUUAGUUUAAACUCAAACAAAAUAUUGGGUUGGCAUACUUUGCACUAAAACCCUUUCUUAGCUAAAUACCCCAUUGGGUUAAACUCCAAAUAAAAUCUCAUAUUAAUUACAUGGUUCACUAAAUUCCCAAAUAGCUUUAUAACACCAAAUCACAAACCAUGUAAACCAUCACAGAUGUAUCCACUAUAUAUAUAUUUGGGAAGUCACGUUAUCCCUCUCAACGAUGGAUUAAAUGUUGGAAUAACAUUUGCACAUG
Molecule: long non-coding RNA, 995 nt
Filed under: Brachypodium distachyon (stiff brome)
Lineage: Eukaryota; Viridiplantae; Streptophyta; Magnoliopsida; Poales; Poaceae
Description: long non-coding RNA (BDIS_LNC001810)
Source: RNAcentral